UUGGUGACCAGCGGAGGGAUCAUUAAAGAGUUCUAUAACUCCCAAACCCAUGUGAACAUACCUAACGUUGCCUCGGCAGGUCGCACCUACCUUGUAGCACCCUACCCUGUAGGGCCUACCCGGGAGGUGCGGGUAAGCCUGCCGGCGGCCCACCAAACUCUGUUUGAUAUUGAAUUCUGAACCUAUAACUAAAUAAGUUAAAACUUUCAACAACGGAUCUCUUGGUUCUGGCAUCGAUGAAGAACGCAGCGAAAUGCGAUAAGUAAUGUGAAUUGCAGAAUUCAGUGAAUCAUCGAAUCUUUGAACGCAUAUUGCGCCCAUUAGUAUUCUAGUGGGCAGGACCGUUCGAGCGUCAUUUCAACCCUUAAGCCUUCGUUGCUUAGUGUUGGGAGCCUACGGCAACGUAGCUCCUCAAAGUUAGUGGCGGAGUUGGUUCACACUCUAGACGUAGUAAUUUUUUAUCUCGCCUAUUAGUUGGACUAAUCCCCUGCCGUAAAACCCCCAAUUUAUCAAGGUUGACCUCGAAUCGGUUCAGACAAACUCGCUAAAUUGAAGCAUCUUAGUCAGCGAAGGAAAAGAAACCAACAGGGAUUGCCCUAGUAACGGCGAGUGAAGCGGCAACAGCUCAAAUUUGAAAUCUGGCCCUCGGG
This 650-nucleotide ribosomal RNA is filed under the name fungal endophyte. RNAcentral describes it as "eukaryotic LSU rRNA". The stretch from base 202 to 355 matches the Rfam family "5.8S ribosomal RNA". The record is from RNAcentral. Lineage: Eukaryota; Fungi.